UACGAAGGGGGCUAGCGUUGCUCGGAAUCACUGGGCGUAAAGCGCACGUAGGCGGGUCGUUAAGUCAGGGGUGAAAUCCUGGAGCUCAACUCCAGAACUGCCCUUGAUACUGGCGAUCUCGAGUUCGGGAGAGGUGAGUGGAACUGCGAGUGUAGAGGUGAAAUUCGUAGAUAUUCGCAAGAACACCAGUGGCGAAGGCGGCUCACUGGCCCGAUACUGACGCUGAGGCACGAAAGCGUGGGGAGCAAACAGG
RNAcentral lists this ribosomal RNA (253 nucleotides) under uncultured bacterium. Its description in RNAcentral is "partial 16S ribosomal RNA". It matches the Rfam family "Bacterial small subunit ribosomal RNA", at positions 524 to 776 of the family's 1533-position model. The record is from RNAcentral.